AGUGGAGCCUGGCUCCUUGGCCCUGAGUUCAGCCCCCAUCACAGCUGCCGAAUUCACAGUCAGUGCUCAACACGUGUUCACGUGUUUGGAGGACGAACCAAACCCGAGUUCUCGGGGCUCCCCAGCCAGCAUGAAGACCGUGUAACCACAGCACGCAUGGGCGGGCCGCUUGGCAAUGGCCAGGCUCAUGCUCUACUGAGCCCCUGGGGGUCACGACUCCCCUGCUGCUCUGUGCAGAGAAAGAAAAGGCAGUCACCUCUCUCUUCCCUCACUGGAAGGUGAGGCCCAGGGGGUCCGGCCUGUGGGAUGUGAAGAAGCCACACAUUGGUGCCCAUCACCUGGUCCUCAGCCUCUCCUUAGGGCAGAGUCGAGGCCCAGAAGGUUGAAAGAGCUGGAAGCUGGGGAAGAGCCUGCACCAGUGCCUUUGCCUCUUAUCAGUCAGUCCGAUUUUUGUUCUCUGACUUUUCGCUCUGUCGCCCAGGCUGGAGUGCAGUGGCGUGAUCUCAGCUUACUACAACCUCCGCCUCCCAGGUUCAAGCGAUUCUCCUGCCUCAGCCUCUUGAGUAGCUGGGAUUACAGACCUGGUGAGCAGGAAGUACAGGAUCGUUUUGAAUUCAGCAGAUUUUGAAUAAUGCCAGAUCAGGAGUGGAUCUCUGGGGUAAGAUGCAAUGGUCCCACACACUUAUAUGUCACCAGAGUCCACUCUUUGGGGAACAGCAAUUUGACGGAACAUGUCAAGAGCUUGUGAAAAUAAGUAAUUCACAUUCGACCUGUUACCCAGAAAAAAACCGGGGUUCAUUCACCUGGUGAAUCUCAAACGGCUCUCCACGAGAACGCAGGUUUGGAUCAGUAGGAGUUUUAUGACUCGCCACAGGUAAGAAUCCUUGGAGGGACUCUCUGGAAUUUCCUUAUCUGACCUAGAAAGUGUCUUGCCAAAAGAAACACAUUUGCCUUCUGUCCGUCUGAUACCCCAUUAUCCACUGCAGAAAAGAAGCCGGAAGAAAAGAAGUCAGAAGUCCAACCACAGCUGGAUGGACUUUUCCACAACAUAAUGUCUGCCUCUCAGACUCAUUCCAUUCACAAGUUGAUUUCUGUCUCCCUGAUCCAUUCAUUCUCCUUAAUAAUCAUUUACUGCUCCUCAAAACAAUGCUCUAUGUUUCCCAUCUCCUCGCUCCCCUGGGAAAAAGAGUACAUAAGCUUCUGUACCCCAUUGGGGGAUUGGGGUAAUCACACUGUAAUUCUCUCCCAUGAAUGUUAAUAAAU
This 1263-nucleotide long non-coding RNA is filed under the name Homo sapiens (human). RNAcentral describes it as "non-protein coding lnc-ZBTB5-2:1". Lineage: Eukaryota; Metazoa; Chordata; Mammalia; Primates; Hominidae. The record is from RNAcentral.